GAUGAACGCUGGCGGUAUGCUUAACACAUGCAAGUCGAACAGUCUUUUCGGAGACAGUGGCGGACGGGUGAGUAACGCGUAAGAAUCUACCUUCAGGGUCGGGGACAACCACUGGAAACGGUGGCUAAUACCGGAUGUGCCGAGAGGUGAAAGGCUUGCUGCCUGAAGAAGAGCUUGCGUCUGAUUAGCUAGUUGGUGGUGUAAGAGACUACCAAGGCGACGAUCAGUAGCUGGUCUGAGAGGAUGAUCAGCCACACUGGGACUGAGACACGGCCCAGACUCCUACGGGAGGCAGCAGUGGGGGAAUUUUCCGCAAUGGGCGAAAGCCUGACGGAGCAAUACCGCGU
RNAcentral lists this ribosomal RNA (347 nucleotides) under uncultured bacterium. Its description in RNAcentral is "bacterial SSU rRNA". It matches the Rfam family "Bacterial small subunit ribosomal RNA", at positions 28 to 402 of the family's 1533-position model. The record is from RNAcentral.